GGGGUCUCAUGGUUACAUAACUUGCACAAUUCAGCUAUUGGUUUUUCCCCCCUUUUAAUUAGGCAGUUGAAUUCGGCACUUGCUCAGUGGUUCGCGGCGAUGCGGAGCACUGGUGCCAUAAGCUGAUUGAUCAAUCAAGCAGAUGCGAGCUACAUAGUUGCAUUAAGGAAUGCUCCAAAGAACCAUCUGGUGUGGGAGUGUGCCAAAAUACAGUUUGUUUUUGCACAUACUAUUGUAAGGAUCCUGUAAAGUGAUUACGAGUCAUUUCAUGAGGGCCUGAG
This 281-nucleotide long non-coding RNA is filed under the name Prunus dulcis (almond). RNAcentral's name for it is "sRNA ncRNA". The record is from RNAcentral. Lineage: Eukaryota; Viridiplantae; Streptophyta; Magnoliopsida; Rosales; Rosaceae.